GCAGUCGACGGUAACAGGUCUUCGGAUGCUGACGAGUGGCGAACGGGUGAGUAAUACAUCGGAACGUGCCCGAUCGUGGGGGAUAACGAAGCGAAAGCUUUGCUAAUACCGCAUAAGAUCUACGGAUGAAAGCAGGGGACCGCAAGGCCUUGCGCGAACGGAGCGGCCGAUGGCAGAUUAGGUAGUUGGUGGGAUAAAAGCUUACCAAGCCGACGAUCUGUAGCUGGUCUGAGAGGACGACCAGCCACACUGGGACUGAGACACGGCCCAGACUCCUACGGGAGGCAGCAGUGGGGAAUUUUGGACAAUGGGCGAAAGCCUGAUCCAGCCAUGCCGCGUGCAGGAUGAAGGCCUUCGGGUUGUAAACUGCUUUUGUACGGAACGAAAAGACUCUGGUUAAUACCUGGGGUCCAUGACGGUACCGUAAGAAUAAGCACCGGCUAACUACGUGCCAGCAGCCGCGGUAAUACGUAGGGUGCAAGCGUUAAUCGGAAUUACUGGGCGUAAAGCGUGCGCAGGCGGUUAUAUAAGACAGAUGUGAAAUCCCCGGGCUCAACCUGGGAACUGCAUUUGUGACUGUAUAGCUAGAGUACGGCAGAGGGGGAUGGAAUUCCGCGUGUAGCAGUGAAAUGCGUAGAUAUGCGGAGGAACACCGAUGGCGAAGGCAAUCCCCUGGGCCUGUACUGACGCUCAUGCACGAAAGCGUGGGGAGCAA
RNAcentral lists this ribosomal RNA (715 nucleotides) under uncultured bacterium. RNAcentral describes it as "bacterial SSU rRNA". It matches the Rfam family "Bacterial small subunit ribosomal RNA", at positions 57 to 771 of the family's 1533-position model. The record is from RNAcentral.